GACGAACGCUGGCGGCGUGCUUAACACAUGCAAGUCGAACGGAAAGGCCCUGCUUUUGUGGGGUGCUCGAGUGGCGAACGGGUGAGUAACACGUGAGUAACCUGCCCUUGACUUUGGGAUAACUUCAGGAAACUGGGGCUAAUACCGGAUAGGAGCUCCUGCUGCAUGGUGGGGGUUGGAAAGUUUCGGCGGUUGGGGAUGGACUCGCGGCUUAUCAGCUUGUUGGUGGGGUAGUGGCUUACCAAGGCUUUGACGGGUAGCCGGCCUGAGAGGGUGACCGGCCAAAUUGGGACUGAGAUACGGCCGAGACUCCUACGGGAGGCAGCAGUGGGGAAUAUUGCACAAUGGGAGGAAGCCUGAUGCAGAAACGCCGCGGGCGGGAUGAAGGACUUCGGGUUGUAAACCGCUUUCGACUGUGACGAAGCGUGAGUGACGGUAAUGGAUAAAGAAGCACAGGCUAACUACGUG
This 468-nucleotide ribosomal RNA is filed under the name uncultured bacterium. RNAcentral's name for it is "partial 16S ribosomal RNA". It matches the Rfam family "Bacterial small subunit ribosomal RNA", at positions 28 to 507 of the family's 1533-position model. The record is from RNAcentral.